GAUCAAUCUAAAAUAACAAAAAUAUAAUACAUAGUGCAAUAAUGUAUUAUAAAAAUAUAAUACAUAGUGUAUAUACAAGAAGUAAGCCCCUAUAUAGGAUGUAGAGCCGUCCCAGGCUGUAUAUGAUGGGCAGGAGGGUGGCCGUCCUAGGCUCUAUAUGAUGGGCAGGAGGGUGGCCGUCCUAGGCUCUAUAUGAUGGGCAGGAGGCUGGCCGUCCUAGGCUCUAUAUGAUGGGCAGGAGGCUGGCCGUCCUAGGCUCUAUAUGAUGGGCAGGAGGGUGGCCGUCCUAGGCUCUAUAUGAUGCGCAAGAGGGAAGGGUCUACAUUCUGUGAGUCAUCCUAUAUAGGGGCUUACUUCUUGUAUAUACAGC
Pelobates cultripes (western spadefoot toad) is the source of this 370-nucleotide non-coding RNA. The record is from the annotation of a GenBank genome assembly. NCBI's taxonomy places the organism in Eukaryota, Metazoa, Chordata, Amphibia, Anura, Pelobatidae.